GACGAACGCUGGCGGCGUGCUUAACACAUGCAAGUCGAACGGAAAGGCCCUGCUUUUGUGGGGUGCUCGAGUGGCGAACGGGUGAGUAACACGUGAGUAACCUGCCCUUGACUUUGGGAUAACUUCAGGAAACGGGGGCUAAUACCGGAUAGGAGAUCCUGCUGCAUGGUGGGGGUUGGAAAGUUUCGGCGGUUGGGGAUGGACUCGCGGCUUAUCAGCUUGCUGGUUGGGUAGUGGAUUACCAAGGCUUUGACCGGUAGCCGGCCGGAGAGGGUGGCCGGCCACAUUGGGACUGAGAUACGGCCCAGACUCCUACGGGAGGCAGCAGUGGGGAAUAUUGCACAAUGGGCGGAAGCCUGAGGCAGCAACGCCGCGUUCGGGAUGACGGCCUUCGGGUUGUAAACCGCUUUCGCCUGUGACGAAGCGUUAGUGACGGUAAUGGGUAAAGAAGCACCGGCUAACUACGUG
Molecule: ribosomal RNA, 468 nt
Filed under: uncultured bacterium
Lineage: Bacteria
Description: partial 16S ribosomal RNA
Rfam family: Bacterial small subunit ribosomal RNA
Source: RNAcentral